GCAAACGUCGAAAAACCUUACCACCUUUGACAUGGCAGGAAUCCUAAAGAGAUUUUGGAGUGCUCGAAAGAGAACCUGCACACAGGUGCUGCAUGGCUGUCGUCAGCUCGUGUCGUGAGAUGUUGGGUUAAGUCCCGCAACGAGCGCAACCCUUGCCAUUAGUUGCUACGAAAGGGCACUCUAAUGGGGACUGCCGGUGACAAACCGGAGGAAGGUGGGGAUGACGUCAAGUCAGCAUGGCCUUUAUAUCCUGGGCUACACACACGCUACAAUGGGAAGGGACAAUAGGUUGCGAAGCCGCGAGGCGGAGCCAAUCCAGCAAAACUUCCCUCAGUUCAGAUUGCAGGCUGCAACUCGCCUGCAUGAAGUUGGAGUUGCUAGUAAACGCAGGUCAGCCAUACUGCGUUGAAUACGUUCCCGGGGCUU
This 426-nucleotide ribosomal RNA is filed under the name uncultured Allobrachymonas sp. RNAcentral describes it as "bacterial SSU rRNA". It matches the Rfam family "Bacterial small subunit ribosomal RNA", at positions 954 to 1382 of the family's 1533-position model. Lineage: Bacteria; Pseudomonadati; Pseudomonadota; Betaproteobacteria; Burkholderiales; Comamonadaceae. The record is from RNAcentral.